Molecule: ribosomal RNA, 485 nt
Filed under: uncultured bacterium
Lineage: Bacteria
Description: partial 16S ribosomal RNA
Rfam family: Bacterial small subunit ribosomal RNA
Source: RNAcentral
UUGAACGCUGGCGGCAUGCCUUACACAUGCAAGUCGAACGGCAGCACGGGUGCUUGCACCUGGUGGCGAGUGGCGAACGGGUGAGUAAUACAUCGGAACAUGUCCUGUAGUGGGGGAUAGCCCGGCGAAAGCCGGAUUAAUACCGCAUACGAUCCACGGAUGAAAGCGGGGGACCUUCGGGCCUCGCGCUAUAGGGUUGGCCGAUGGCUGAUUAGCUAGUUGGUGGGGUAAAGGCCUACCAAGGCGACGAUCAGUAGCUGGUCUGAGAGGACGACCAGCCACACUGGGACUGAGACACGGCCCAGACUCCUACGGGAGGCAGCAGUGGGGAAUUUUGGACAAUGGGCGAAAGCCUGAUCCAGCAAUGCCGCGUGUGUGAAGAAGGACUUCGGGUUGUAAAGCACUUUUGUCCGGAAAGAAAUCCUUGACUCUAAUACAGUCGGGGGAUGACGGUACCGGAAGAAUAAGCACCGGCUAACUACGUG